GGCAUAUGUCACAACGCAAAUCCAGGCAUCGGCUGACACCAGGGACUGUGAAAUUUGCUGCUUACCAUGUUCUCGCUCUCGAGGGAGACAAGGGCUUGAAUGUUCUAGAUAUUGCGGAAAGGAUUCAAAAAUCUGGUUUACGUGACCUUUCAACCAGCAAGACUCCAGAAGCCUCUAUAUCUGUUGCUUUGUCAAGGGAUCCAAUACUUUUUGAAAGAAUUGCUCCUUCAACAUACAAUGUUCGACUUGCUUUUAGGAAGGAUCCUGCUGAUGCUGACGCAAUUAUUUCAGCAGCCAAGGAGAAAAUACAAAGAUAUGCUAAUGGGUUUCUCUCUGGACAAAAUGUUGAAGAUGAAGAAAGAGAUGACGAUUCUGAAGGUGAAGGUGAUGUUGCUGAAGGUCCAGAAGUCGAUGACUUGGGUACUUCAUAUGGUGCUAACAAGAACAAUGAACAAAGCAGCCUACUUGACACCUGCUUGGUGAAUGGAAAAAGUAAGCUAUCUGAUGAGAUUGGACAACAAAUUGGAGUUGAUGUUGUUGGUAUUGCGGUUAGUAACCCCAGCCAAGGCUGUUCAGAAAUUGACGAGACCAAAGCAGGUGAGCCAUGGGUUCAAGGACUCGCUGAAGGUGAAUACUCUGACCUAUGUGUUGAGGAGCGUUUAAGUGCUCUUAUUGCCUUGAUUGGCAUAGCAAAUGAAGGAAAUUCUAUCCGUGCAAUUCUUGAGGACCGUCUGGAUGCAGCAAAUGCUUUGAAAAAACAGAUGUGGGCUGAAUCCCAAUUGGAUAAAAGACGAUUGAAGGAGGAGACAAUCAAUAAAUUUAAUGAUAGUUCCUUCAAUGUUGUGGUUGAGGGUAGCCAAAGCCCAUUGGGGUAUCCAAACAAUAAAAAUCAUGGGACAUCACCAACCACACUGGUAAAGGAUGACUCUGCUGGUAUAGUAGACAAUCUUCAGAACCACUUUGAAAGCAUUCCUGCUGAGAAGAGUUCAGCCGCACAAGAAACCUUUGUGGGUCAAUUUGCUGUACCAAGUGGGAAUACAGCAGAAAGGUCACGCAUGCAGUUAAAAUCUUUCAUUGGCCACAAAGCAGAAGAGAUGUAUGUGUACAGGUCUUUGCCUUUAGGUCAAGACCGGAGACGCAAUCGU
Molecule: unclassified non-coding RNA, 1145 nt
Filed under: Hevea brasiliensis (rubber tree)
Lineage: Eukaryota; Viridiplantae; Streptophyta; Magnoliopsida; Malpighiales; Euphorbiaceae
Source: RNAcentral